This 222-nucleotide ribosomal RNA is filed under the name uncultured bacterium. Its description in RNAcentral is "partial 16S ribosomal RNA". It matches the Rfam family "Bacterial small subunit ribosomal RNA", at positions 1277 to 1500 of the family's 1533-position model. The record is from RNAcentral.
UAAACGUCCCAGUUCGGAUUGUAGUCUGNAACCCGACUACAUGAAGCUGGAAUCGCUAGUAAUCGCGAAUCAGAAAUGUCGCGGUGAAUACGUUCCCGGGUCUUGUACACACCGCCCGUCACACCAUGGGAGUCGGAAAUGCCCGAAGUCAGUGACCUAACCGAAAGGGAGGAGCUGCCGAAGGUGGAGCCGGUAACUGGGGUGAAGUCGUAACAAGGUAUC